AAGCUCAAAUCCAACCCCGUUCAUAUUGCUUUGGUGCUUCAAUGUCUGCACCAAGUUCUUUUGCGGCUGUUCUUGGCCAAUAAGGGUCCCUUAGCAGUUCGCGGGCGAGAAAAAUGAGAUCAGCGCGGUCAUUUUGCAAAAUUUCCUCUGCUUGAAGGCCGGAAGUAAUAAGCCCGACCGCCCCUGUCAAAAUGCCGGCUUGGUGCUUAAUUUUUUCGGCAAACUUAACUUGAUAGCCAGGAUAAACUUUUAUAUGUACGGGAACAAGACCGCCUGAGCUGACAUCAAUAAGG
This 293-nucleotide non-coding RNA is filed under the name Bacillus methanolicus MGA3. Lineage: Bacteria; Bacillati; Bacillota; Bacilli; Caryophanales; Bacillaceae. The record is from RNAcentral.